UACAUGGGGUGCAAACGUUGCUCGGAAUCAUUGGGCGUAAAGCGCACGUAGGCGGCUACCUAAGUCGGAUGUGAAAGCCCUCGGCUUAACUGAGGAAGUGCACCCGAAACUGAGUAGCUUGAGUACGAAAGAGGGUCGCGGAAUUCCCGGUGUAGAGGUGAAAUUCGUAGAUAUCGGGAGGAACACCGGUGGCGAAGGCGGCGACCUGGUUCGAGACUGACGCUGAGGUGCGAAAGCGUGGGGAGCAAACAGG
Molecule: ribosomal RNA, 253 nt
Filed under: uncultured bacterium
Lineage: Bacteria
Description: partial 16S ribosomal RNA
Rfam family: Bacterial small subunit ribosomal RNA
Source: RNAcentral